GAAUCUGCCUGGUAGUGGGGGAUAACGUUCGGAAACGGACGCUAAUACCGCAUACGUCCUACGGGAGAAAGCAGGGGACCUUCGGGCCUUGCGCUAUCAGAUGAGCCUAGGUCGGAUUAGCUAGUUGGUGGGGUAAUGGCUCACCAAGGCGACGAUCCGUAACUGGUCUGAGAGGAUGAUCAGUCACACUGGAACUGAGACACGGUCCAGACUCCUACGGGAGGCAGCAGUGGGGAAUAUUGGACAAUGGGCGAAAGCCUGAUCCAGCCAUGCCGCGUGUGUGAAGAAGGUCUUCGGAUUGUAAAGCACUUUAAGUUGGGAGGAAGGGUUGUAGAUUAAUACUCUGCAAUUUUGACGUUACCGACAGAAUAAGCACCGGCUAACUCUGUGCCAGCAGCCGCGGUAAUACAGAGGGUGCAAGCGUUAAUCGGAAUUACUGGGCGUAAAGCGCGCGUAGGUGGUUUGUUAAGUUGGAUGUGAAAUCCCCGGGCUCAACCUGGGAACUGCAUUCAAAACUGACUGACUAGAGUAUGGUAGA
Molecule: ribosomal RNA, 538 nt
Filed under: uncultured bacterium
Lineage: Bacteria
Description: bacterial SSU rRNA
Rfam family: Bacterial small subunit ribosomal RNA
Source: RNAcentral